RNAcentral lists this ribosomal RNA (253 nucleotides) under uncultured bacterium. RNAcentral describes it as "partial 16S ribosomal RNA". It matches the Rfam family "Bacterial small subunit ribosomal RNA", at positions 524 to 776 of the family's 1533-position model. The record is from RNAcentral.
UACAGAGGUGGCAUGCGUUGUUCGGAAUUACUGGGCGUAAAGGGCGCGUAGGGGGCCCGCCAAGUCCCGUGUGAAAUCCCCCGGCUCAACCGGGGAACGGCGCGGGAACCUAGCAGGCUUGAGUUCGGGAGAGGGAAGCGGAAUUCCGGGUGUAGCGGUGAAAUGCGCAGAUAUCCGGAGGAACACCGGUGGCGAAGGUGGCUUCCUGGACCGACACUGACGCUGAGGCGCGAAAGCUAGGGGAGCAAACGGG